UGGCAGCUUGCUGCUUCUGUGGCCUCGCCUCAGGCCGGUUGGCAGGCCUGGAGGUUUCUUUAGGAUGGACUACAGCUGUCUGGUAUCUGCUCGAUGAAAGGACUGGAGUGUAGCUGCUGGUUCGUGCCUGGAGUCUGCCUGCCUAGAGGCCUGGCCUGCCGCUGCUGAGUCAUAUUUGGUGUUUCCUGCAGGAGUGAACUGUUGUCAAAGAAGAUCAAGCUCUGUACCCAGAGAACUACUGCUGAACAGGGCCAUUUCCCCCAUAUCCUAAUAAUUUUUUUCCUUCCACUACCUCUGCUGGGUGGUGGGCUAGAAGAGAGGUUGAACCCUUAUUAAAAGUAGGUUGCAACAACAGAGUUUCCAUCUUUCCUGCUGUAAUCACGUUAGCCCCCAAUCGCAGAGACCUGCUUGCUUCUACCUCCUGAGGGCUGGGAUUAAAGGCGUGUGCCACCACUGCCUGGAACAGACAGUUUUCUGUAUUCCUGGGUUCCACAUUCUCAGAUCCAACCAAUCUCAGUUUGAAAACAUUUUUCAAAAAUUCCAUUAUGUUGAACAUGUACAGAUUUGUUUUACUGUCUUGGUCUAUAGAUGGAUAUUGAAACACUGCAUAGCUAGUAUUGACAUUGUACUAGGUAUGGUAAAUUGAGCAAAGAUAUUUUUUUACAUAGGAAGCUAUGUGGAUGUUCUAUGCCAAUGACAUCACUUUAUAAGAGGUCUGAGAAUUUUUGGAUCUCGGUGCCCGUGAGGGUCCUGGCACUGACCCCUUGAGUACUAAGGGACCACUAUCCCGCAGGCAUAUCUGUACACCCUGAAUUAUGUCACCAGCUUGCUGACGUCAUGUCACAUCUGUGUCCGAUGCUCUUGCCCUCCCAGACAUGGGGACUUUACUGAAUCCCUGGAGUCCACUACAAACCCGAUGACUUUUUUCUCUGGGUUUCUCCAGCAUCUACCUCCUAAAAACAGGACGACUCCGAUGUAAGUGCAAUACAGAGAUUAAGAUAUUUGAGGAAUAUCAAAAUAUUAACAUUUAUUUUGAGUGUCAAGUCAAUAUUCACAUUUCUUUGGGGUGACUUUUUUUUUUACCCUUCAAGACUGGUUUCAAGAAAAACCAGGGCUUUCAAGCACACACAUUGCAUCUCCUGUAAAACUGUGUCUAUU
RNAcentral lists this long non-coding RNA (1158 nucleotides) under Mus pahari (shrew mouse). RNAcentral's name for it is "predicted gene 42787 (MGP_PahariEiJ_G0005400.1)". The record is from RNAcentral. Lineage: Eukaryota; Metazoa; Chordata; Mammalia; Rodentia; Muridae.